This 254-nucleotide long non-coding RNA is filed under the name Mus pahari (shrew mouse). RNAcentral describes it as "RIKEN cDNA 1810013D15 gene (MGP_PahariEiJ_G0003559.1)". The record is from RNAcentral. Lineage: Eukaryota; Metazoa; Chordata; Mammalia; Rodentia; Muridae.
UUUGUCUGCAGGAUAGGGACGCAACCUUCAGUAGCCUCGCGGGCCCCAGAGUUCCGGCAAGGGUCGCGCAGGCAUAAAGACUGUCGGAUCCCCCUGGAACUGCGUUUAGAAACAGAUGUGAUCUACAUGUGGGAGAGGGAGCCAGACCCUGGUGCUCUGGAACCGAAUGUCCCUUCCACUCAGGAAUUUCUCUCUCAGACAUCAUCUGGCUGUGUGCAAAGGUGAGUAUGAGCGACUCCAUAUCUUUCAGCUAG